Molecule: ribosomal RNA, 440 nt
Filed under: uncultured bacterium
Lineage: Bacteria
Description: partial 16S ribosomal RNA
Rfam family: Bacterial small subunit ribosomal RNA
Source: RNAcentral
CCUACGGGAGGCAGCAGUAGGGAAUAUUGCUCAAUGGGGGAAACCCUGAAGCAGCAACGCCGCGUGGAGGAUGAAUGUUUUCGGAUUUUAAACUCCUUUUGUUAGAGAAGAUAAUGACGGUAUCUAACGAAUAAGCACCGGCUAACUCCGUGCCAGCAGCCGCGGUAAUACGGAGGGUGCAAGCGUUACUCGGAAUCACUGGGCGUAAAGAGCGCGUAGGCGGGAUAGCAAGUCAGAUGUGAAAUCCUAUGGCUUAACCAUAGAACUGCAUUUGAAACUGUUAUUCUAGAGUAUGGGAGAGGUAGGUGGAAUUCUUGGUGUAGGGGUAAAAUCCGUAGAGAUCAAGAGGAAUACUCAUUGCGAAGGCGACCUGCUAGAACAUAACUGACGCUGAUGCGCGAAAGCGUGGGGAGCAAACAGGAUUAGAUACCCUUGUAGUC